GUCGUAACAAGGUUUCCGUAGGUGAACCUGCGGAAGGAUCAUUGUCGAAACCUGCAAAAUCAGACCGCGAACACGUUUAAUUACAUGGGACUGUGGCGGGGUAAACCCGAUGCUGCUUUUCCCACCCCRCAUGCGCGCACUCCGGUGCGCGUGCUGCGGGCUAACAAACCCCGGCGCGGCAUGCGCCAAGGAGUACUCAUAGAAGCGUCCGCRUCCCCUUGCCCCGUCCGCGGUGAGCGAGGGGGGAUAGGACGUCUCUCCACUGUCAAAAUGACUCUCGGCAACGGAUAUCUCGGCUCUCGUAUCGAUGAAGAACGUAGCGAAAUGCGAUACUUGGUGUGAAUUGCAGAAUCCCGUGAACCAUCGAGUCUUUGAACGCAAGUUGCGCCCGAAGCCAUCCGGACAAGGGCACGUCUGCCUGGGCGUCACGCAUCGCGUCGCUCCCCUCCCGUCCAUAUGGGCGAUAGGUAGGUGGGGGCGUACGAUGGUCUCCCGUGCGCGAGGAUGCACGGCCGGCCCAAAUGCGAUACCGAGGCGACUCACGUCACGGCCAGUGGUGGUUGAACACUCAACUCUCGUGCUGUCGUGCACGGCGUCGUACAUCGGGUAUUUUUGAAAGACCCCACGGCGCGAGCUACUCGCGCUUCAGACCGCGACCCCA
RNAcentral lists this small RNA (661 nucleotides) under Cistanche sinensis. RNAcentral describes it as "eukaryotic LSU rRNA". The stretch from base 273 to 428 matches the Rfam family "5.8S ribosomal RNA". Lineage: Eukaryota; Viridiplantae; Streptophyta; Magnoliopsida; Lamiales; Orobanchaceae. The record is from RNAcentral.